This is a long non-coding RNA of Panthera uncia (snow leopard), 427 nucleotides long. RefSeq lists it as uncharacterized. Lineage: Eukaryota; Metazoa; Chordata; Mammalia; Carnivora; Felidae. The transcript has 3 exons. The record is from RefSeq and is a predicted model, not a curated record.
GAUGCAGACCAACUAACUACAAGGAAAUACAGCACACAACAGAACUAUAUAACAAGGACCAAAGAAAGAGCAAGAAGAAUCCUGGCCCGGAAUUCCAGAAGAUCCAUCCUGAGGCCAAAAGGGAAGCAAAGGUAAUGGCACAUUCCGAAUAAUCAGGCUGUCAAAUGAAAUUCCAAUCCAUCUGAUUAGCACAGAGACAAGUUCAUAUGCCUUUUUGUCACUGUGGAUUGAGUGGAUUAGCUGUCAAUUUAUCCAAAGUCAGCCACAUCCUAACCUCCUCCCUGAGAUCUGGCCAAACUCUGGGUCACGUUGUCCUGGACGAAAAUAAAGCAGUGAAAAGAAACAAUGUCCAGCUUUGCAUCUUUGGCUUUGGCUUUAACCUUGGAGAUAGGACACUAAUUGAUUUCAAAAUGGCACGGACAUUUGG